Molecule: long non-coding RNA, 1042 nt
Filed under: Ananas comosus (pineapple)
Lineage: Eukaryota; Viridiplantae; Streptophyta; Magnoliopsida; Poales; Bromeliaceae
Description: long non-coding RNA (ACOM_LNC033610)
Source: RNAcentral
UGGUAUUUUACUGGAGGCAUAAUAGUUGUAUGUACUUCAUUUAUCCUUUAGGGCCCGUUUGGUUCGAGUUAUGUAAUAUUACAAAGUAUCUCGACAUAUCCAGGUAUCUUGGAUUUCGGCGUGCGAUUACUACUGAUGCUGUAUUAGAGCGUUUGGUUUAAUACAGUAAUGUAAUACUAGAUUACAGUGUUUAUAGCAUUAAUAUGUUUGGUUCAGUUUAUAAAAUUUAGUAAUCCUGACAUAAAAGUAUAGUUUUUUUCAAAAUUGUCCUUGUUGUGGUCAUUUGAAUAUUAUUUUUUGCGGAAAUAACGAAUGGAGGGAAGGAGAUCGUGAUGAUUACUUGGAAGGACAACGCAAUAGAAGAUGAUAGGUGUUCGUGCGUGAGAGAGAGAGAGAGAGACGUCGAGAGAGAGAGCAAGAGAAAGUGGCGUGCGAGAGAGAAGGCCGGGGGGAAGGAGAGAGAGAUAUGAAAAUAAUGCUGUUAAUUAGAUUUGGGGUUGUUGGAGGGUAAAAUUAUCAUUUUACAUAAUAUGUAGUAUUAACGGGUUUCAGUAAUGCAAGAUACACGACCCCCCUCCCGUUAAUAUUUUCGAUGUAAUCCUGCUCGAUUUGUAAUGCUACAUUAACGACUAAAUUACAUAGCGGAUUAACCAAAUACAGUUAUCCUGGCAGGAUUGCCUGUAAUCCUGCCAGGAUAACUCGAACCAAACGUACCCUUAUUGCAGUAGUAAUUUCCAUUAUUUACUAUCAUUCUACUUUUGCCUUCUUCGAACCGAGUGAGUAUAGAGUGCCACUUUCGGCGGUUACACCUACUGCAAAUUUACUUUAAGUUCUCACUAUGACAUCCCAAUAAUCCCACAUUGGAUAAUGUGGGAGGAUGUGAUGGAUUUAUGAGUGAAUUACUCACUGGUAAUAAUAACUGGACUUAAGUUUUUUGGGCCUGUAGUUUGGGCCCAAUGAGUUAUUAUUGCUAGCGGGUCAAAUCGUUACAUUUGGCAUCAGAGCCUGAUAAUCGGUCGGAAGUGUGAAAUGGAUCUCACAU